GCUGGAGUCGCCUAACCCGGUAUGGCACUGGUUUGCUAAACCAGCGCUCGAAAGAGCUUCGGGGUUCAAAUCCCCGCUCCAGCG
This 84-nucleotide transfer RNA is filed under the name Candidatus Aenigmatarchaeota archaeon. RNAcentral's name for it is "tRNA-Ser". It matches the Rfam family "tRNA". From Rfam's summary of the family: Transfer RNA (tRNA) molecules are approximately 80 nucleotides in length. Their secondary structure includes four short double-helical elements and three loops (D, anti-codon, and T loops). Lineage: Archaea; Nanobdellati; Candidatus Aenigmatarchaeota. The record is from RNAcentral.